This 560-nucleotide long non-coding RNA is filed under the name Homo sapiens (human). RNAcentral's name for it is "novel transcript". The record is from RNAcentral. Lineage: Eukaryota; Metazoa; Chordata; Mammalia; Primates; Hominidae.
ACUUUCUGCUGUGACAGGGCAGCACUGAGUUGAAGGCAGAGUCCCACAGUUGCUGCAUUCUCCCUCCCCCAGGUGCACAGAUUCUCAGCACCACAGCGGCCGCUGCUGGGAGAUGGGAGAGGAAUGGCCUCGGUGUUUCAAGACUGUCUCUCCUACCCUCUUCAGUGCCUCUUUCAGUGUUAUGAAGUUAAACCCAGAUGAGAUCUCAAAAGGAAGGACACUUGAGCAAAGUUGCACAGUUGAUCCUUGACUCAUGGUACAAGACUCUUUCCACUACUCUGAGAGCCCUGAGUCCUGAGAAGAAGAUGGAAGGAAGAACUGCUAGUGUGCCUGAGACUUACAUUGUGAAGAUACUUUUUUAAAACUUGAGAGCUAAAAGAAUAUCAGCAGAGGAACAGCCCUGGUGUUCCAGCAGGAGCAAAGACAAAAAAGAAAAAAACUGGCAGUAGCCCUGAGACAACCACUUCUGGUGGCUGCCACUCACCUGGGGAUGUGGAGGUCUGGAGCUCUACGAGAUUCAUCACCCAUGUCCUGGGCCUGAGGAGAGGGGACCAGUGAGC